RNAcentral lists this ribosomal RNA (1141 nucleotides) under Candidatus Synechococcus spongiarum. RNAcentral describes it as "bacterial SSU rRNA". It matches the Rfam family "Bacterial small subunit ribosomal RNA", at positions 376 to 1533 of the family's 1533-position model. The record is from RNAcentral. Lineage: Bacteria; Bacillati; Cyanobacteriota; Cyanophyceae; Synechococcales; Synechococcaceae.
CGAAAGCCUGACGGAGCAACGCCGCGUGAGGGAUGGAGGCCUUUGGGCUGUAAACCUCUUUUCUCAAGGAAGAAGAUCUGACGGUACUUGAGGAAUAAGCCACGGCUAAUUCCGCGCCAGCAGCCGCGGUAAUACGGGAGUGGCAAGCGUUAUCCGGAAUUAUUGGGCGUAAAGCGUCCGCAGGCGGCCGUUUAAGUCUGUUAUUAAAUCGUGGAGCUCAACUCCAUCACGGCAAUGGAAACUGUUCGGCUUGAGUAUGGUAGGGGCAGAGGGAAUUUCCGGUGUAGCGGUGAAAUGCGUAGAUAUCGGGAAGAACACCAGUGGCGAAAGCGCUCUGCUGGGCCAUUACUGACGCUCAUGGACGAAAGCCAGGGGAGCGAAAGGGAUUAGAUACCCCUGUAGUCCUGGCCGUAAACGAUGAACACUAGAUGUUGGGGGAAUCGACCCCCUCGGUGUCGUAGCUAACGCGUUAAGUGUUCCGCCUGGGGAGUACGCACGCAAGUGUGAAACUCAAAGGAAUUGACGGGGGCCCGCACAAGCGGUGGAGUAUGUGGUUUAAUUCGAUGCAACGCGAAGAACCUUACCAAGGCUUGUCAUCCUGCGAAUCUCUAAGAAAUUAGAGAGUGCCUUCGGGAACGCAGUGACAGGUGGUGCAUGGCUGUCGUCAGCUCGUGUCGUGAGAUGUUGGGUUAAGUCCCGCAACGAGCGCAACCCACGUUUUUAGUUGCCAGCAUUCAGUUGGGCACUCUAGAAAGACUGCCGGUGACAAACCGGAGGAAGGUGUGGACGACGUCAAGUCAUCAUGCCCCUUACGCCUUGGGCUACACACGUACUACAAUGCUGCGGACAAAGAGUAGCGAUCUUGCGAAAGUUAGCUAAUCUCAUAAACCGUGGCUCAGUUCAGAUCGUAGGCUGCGACUCGCCUACGUGAAGGAGGAAUCGCUAGUAAUCGCAGGUCAGCAUACUGCGGUGAAUACGUUCCCGGGCCUUGUACACACCGCCCGUCACACCAUGGAAGUUGGCCAUGCCCGAAGUCGUUACUCUAACCUUUUGGAAGAGGGCGCCGAAGGCAGGGCUAAUGACUGGGGUGAAGUCGUAACAAGGUAGCCGUAGCGGAAGCUGCGGCUGGAUCACCUCCUAA